UAUGGUGGUUAUGCGGAUUGGUUAGCAGAAUUUUGUGGGAAGUGGCGGUUCGAGUCGGUGAUGCAGCCUGUUAUAACAAGCUGAAGGUGCAUAGACUCUUAAUUUUUCUCUCUUAUCUUCUGAACUGAUGCAGAGUUAUUGUAUGGCUUGAAUGGAUUGAUUAAUGAUUUGAAAAAAAACAAAGUGUUCGAUAUUGAAGGAAACAAAGGGUGAGGGAGGUCAAAGGGAGCUGACUCUGAACAGUGUCUGAACUGACUCGGUUUCUACGAGAACUAGUUUGUUAUUCGUUUCGGUUGAGCAAGCCUUUCUGCAAUCGUCCUCUUAUAUAUGCAGAAAAAUUAGGGUUUGAUAUUUGUUAACAGGCCUUUCUGCAAUCGUCCUCUUUCUCUUUCUCUCUCUCUCUCUUUAUUCUUUUUCUUUCUGCAACAGUAGGAGAUAUUGGCAAGCAUGACAUCCUAGAUAAGCUCAGCAUCUUAACCCCUUUUGUUGAUAUUAUCUCUGUAAAAUGGCAAAGGAAUGUUAUUUGUCGUAUUGUCUUUUAUGUCAUGUCAAACUAAGUUGAAAGCAUUCUACAGUUUAUUUCUUUGUAUUUCCCUAACACAGUUCGUUUUGUAUAAAUGUUAUCGGUAUCGUUGACACCGUGCUUUACACUCGGCAAAACUCUGGAGGGAAGAAGCCACAGGGACAACACUUUAAAUUGCACACUAUGGGAAGCUUGUGCUAUGGAGUACGUUGACUACCAACAUCGACAGGCUGAUAGAGCCAAACCUAUUGAAUACAUAUAUGGUUAUGAUUCAGGUUCUGUGUUCUUACAAAUGGAAGCUUCACAUCGACAUCUAUGUCUCUAAAUUCGCUUAUGGUCAGUUACUUUUUUUCUGUCUUUGAUUAUCAGAACAGUUUUAAUAUAAUAGCAUGACGAGACCAAGUCCCGGUGUGAUAUUGGGAUCAAGCAACUGUUAUUCUUUAAUAUUUAGACAGAAUUGAUUUAAAAGUCAAGAAAUGGCAGCAGCUGCUUUGGCAUAUAAAUGCAUGGAGAAUGUAUCUUAAAAAGUUGCCUUGCCAAAUUCACUCUCUUUUGUUUUGUUCUUUGUCUGAAGAAUGUAUCUUAAAAAGCUAAGUUGGCAUAUUUCACAAUAUUUUUUUUCAAAUAAAUGUUGAAAGAUCUUUCUUUGACUUUUAGUAUUCUUCACAUUUUUCUUAUGCAUUUUUCCUUCUUUUGUUGCCUUUUUUUUAAUAAAACUCUUUUUGUUACUAUCAGUAAUAUUUCAGCUGACAUUUUUUUAUGAGAAGAGUUCCUUUAUUAGUUGGAUCUUAACCCCUUUUACUUGUCUGCAGAGCUUAUGAAUAAUGGUAUGUUGGUUGCAGGAUGGAAAGUUUCAUCUGAAAAGUAGUGGCUUAAGUGGUGAUUUCGAUGGUUUUGUUGUCUGAGUAGUGGCAUUGAUUUAUGUAGCUUGGAAGUCUUGCGGAUUUGGUAGCCUUGUGUUUUAGGUAGUCUUCUCGCCUUGGCUUUGGUUGCUGGUGUGUUAUCGCGUGCAGUUGUGUUAUGGCUUUCAUUUCAUUUCGCUCAGUUUCGGCAGAGGCUGGUUUUAUGAGAAGUAGCUGAUUAGGUUUGAGGUGUUAUGUUUGUUGGCUUAUGCCUAACUGUAUGUUUGUAUUUUGAGCAACCAACCAAAACAAAAACACCAUGUUCUUUUCUAUCAGAAAGUAACACAUUAUUUAUACUAUUCUUUUCAAUUUUCUUUAGCUAAAGUCACUCAAAGCUGAGUGAAAAUAAGAGUUCA
This is a long non-coding RNA of Vicia villosa (hairy vetch), 1781 nucleotides long. RefSeq lists it as uncharacterized. NCBI's taxonomy places the organism in Eukaryota, Viridiplantae, Streptophyta, Magnoliopsida, Fabales, Fabaceae. The transcript has 5 exons. The record is from RefSeq and is a predicted model, not a curated record.